ACCACAAAAACACCCUCGUGUAGUCACUGUACCGUGUCUGUAACAAUUAGGGCUCCGAAUAAAAACCACCCGCGCCGAGGUCCCAUAUCUCAAUUACACCCCGUCGUCUCUUCCCUCCGCCGUGCUCCUCCAUAUCCUCUCUCUCUCUCACACUCUCUCUCUCUCUCUCUCUCUCUCUAUAUAUAUAUAUAUAUGUGUGUGUAUGUAUAUCUGCUUUGUAUCUGUCUCUUCCUACAUUUAGCCGUAGCCACCACAGCGUCGCCACCAAUAAUCGUCGCCAUUUGCUCCCUGCCCGCUGAAUCUUGGCCGUUGGAUCUCGUUCAGAGGGCCUGAUUACAGAGGGCGCACACAUCACACACACGAGCAAAUCGACACCACCUCAUUGGAAGAAGGUUAUGCGAAGGUGGUUAUGUGUUAUGUCUAUACCCCAUUAUGCAUUUUGGAAAUCCCUGGGCAACCACUUGAGGAUGACAAGUGUUUGAAUGACAAGCUGAAGGUGUUUGUGAUCUAGAUUUUUAUGGCUGAUCAGUCCUUAAUCACACUUCCUCCUGAUUCAUCACUUGAUUUGCAAGAUCAUUCUUUAGUUAUUGGGCAAGAAUUCGCUGAUGUUGAGACUUGCCGUAGAGCACUAAAGGAUAUUGCUAUAGCAUUGCAUUUUGAUCUUCGGAUUGUGAAAUCUGAUCGUAGUCGGUUUAUAGCAAAAUGUUCAAAGGAAGGUUGUCCCUGGCGUGUACAUGUUGCAAAAUGUCCGGGAGUUCCUACCUUUUCUAUUAGAACCCUACACGGAGAGCAUACUUGUGAAGGGGUUCGCAACCUUCACCAUCAACAAGCAUCAGUCGGAUGGGUUGCUAGGUCUGUUGAAGCAAGGGUUAGAGAUAAUCCUCAAUAUAAACCAAAGGAAAUUCUACAAGAUAUUCGUGAUCAGCAUGGAGUUGCUGUGUCUUACAUGCAAGCUUGGCGUGGGAAGGAGCGGAGCAUGGCCGCACUUCACGGGACUUUUGAAGAAGGGUAUCAGCUUCUUCCAGGAUAUUGUGAACAGAUAAGAAAACUUAACCCAGGAAGCAUAGCAUCAGUUUUCACAACUGGACAAGAUAAUUUCUUCCAGCGCCUCUUUGUUUCAUACCGUGCAUCAAUCUACGGUUUUAUAAAUGCUUGCAGACCACUUCUGGAACUUGACAAAGCACAUCUCAAAGGUAAAUAUUUGGGCGUGUUGCUUUGUGCUGCAGCUGUUGAUGCUGAUGAUGGGUUGUUUCCAUUGGCCAUUGGGAUUGUUGAUGUGGAGAGCGACGAGAAUUGGAUGUGGUUCAUGUCAGAGUUGCGGAAGCUUCUUGGAGUAAAUACUGACAAUAUGCCUAGACUUACCAUACUCUCUGAAAGGCAACCAGGCAUUGUGGAAGCUGUUGAGACUCAUUUCCCCAGUGCUUUUCAUGGUUUUUGCUUGCGUCAUGUGAGUGAGAAUUUUCGUGAUACAUUCAAGAACUCAAAGUUGGUGAAUAUCUUUUGGAAUGCUGUUUAUGCCCUUACGGCAGUUGAAUUUGAAAGCAAGAUCUCUGAGAUGGUAGAAGUAUCGCAAGAUGUCAUACCAUGGUUUCAGCUAUUUCCACCCCAACUAUGGGCUGUUGCCUAUUUUGAGGGGGUACGAUAUGGCCAUUUCACAUUGGGGGUCACAGAAAUAUUGUAUAACUGGGCCCUUGAGUGUCAUGAGCUCCCUGUUGUACAAAUGAUGGAACACAUUCGUCAUCAGAUGUCAUCUUGGUUCGCCGAGCGUCGUAAUUUGGGAAUGAGAUGGAGCUCCAUUCUUGUACCAUCGGCUGAGAAGAAGAUUUUAGAAGCAAUCGCAGAUGCUCAUUGUUAUCAAGUACUUCGUGCAAAUGAAGUUGAAUUUGAGAUUGUGUCAAGCGAGCGGACAAAUAUUGUGGACAUACGAACCAGAGUGUGUUCGUGUCGCCGUUGGCAACUCUAUGGUUUGCCUUGUGCACAUGCUGCUGCUGCACUCAUCUCUUGCGGGCAAAAUGCCCAUUUAUUUGCUGAGCAUUGUUUCACAGUCAAUAGCUACCGUGAAACCUAUUCACAUAUUAUCAAUCCAAUUCCAGAUAAAAGUCUAUGGAAUGAGCACAUUGAGGGAGCAGAUGGUGGAGGUCCCAAAUUUGAUAUUGCAAUACGGCCACCCAAGACACGUCGGCCUCCUGGCAGGCCGAAAAAGAAGGUCCUUCGUGUGGAGAGUUUAAAGCGUCCAAAAAGAGUCGUUCAAUGUGGUCGCUGCCAUAUGUUAGGACAUUCUCAAAAGAAGUGCACGAUGCAAACUUGAUCCUUAGUUAAUUGUCAAAAAUCGUUUCUUUUGCCUUUCUGCAAUUGCCGUAGGGGAAUUAUGUUUCUAUUUGAUGAGCAAGCAUAUCAGCAAAGAAUAUUGCCUCUAUAUGAGAGUACUAAUUCAUUGCAACACCAGCAGCCGAUAAACACGUGUACUUGAAUUGGGCUUCCGUAAGCCAAUUCUCUUCCCUCCUACUUUUGGUGUUAGUUUGGAGUUUUCAUUCUUCAGUUGCUGUCUAAGCCUGUUGACAUAUCCCCGCAGCUCCUUCGUCAUACUGUGGAUGAUCUUGUUCUUCCAAGAAAUAGCACUCAUACAGCUGGGCGGAAAAGGGUUCAUUUGGGACGGUUUUCGUUUGGCUACGCACGAUCUACUCAAUUGAAAACACAUGCUGCAAGUGAGUUUUGGGGUGGUGAGGUUAGGUCUCUAAAAGCAUCCACUUAUCACGUCCAAUCCAUAAUUAUUGAGAUUGAUUCCAUUAUAUAGUUCUUAUUGCUUUUUGAAGGACUCCACCACUAAAACUGGCUCUUACCUUGGCUUUUUUAGGACUGCAGCCAGUUAUAUAACAACUUUCGCAGUUUUUCAUCAAAUUUUGUUAUUAGGAAGCAAACAUUGGAGCGGAUAAGUUUGAGCUAUUUAGCUUAGACCCAAGAGCAGUGGGUUUUGUAUUAGUGUGCCUAGUUUUUUGGUCAAUAGUAUUAGAUUGUUAACCAUCAACUCAUCUAAAAGUUUAAGCAGUUAGAGAGAGGGGCAACUUUAUAACUUAUACCUUUAACAUGCUCCCUCAUGUGUAGCCUGGCUCUCCUCCAUAAGUGGGCUAAACACUUGUAAAUAUUUGAACAUUAGGUGGGCAGUGAGGUUCGAAAACAAGAUCUAUUGUCUACUUUGAUGCCGCAGGGCCCAUUUCACUUCACAUUUUAAAAAAUUCACAAUCCACACCCCAUGAUGACAGACUAGCAAAAAGGUUGGACGAUGAUAGACCAAAAAGAGGCUACACGUGACAGAUCUCAAAUGCGGCUGCACGUGAGAGGGGAUGUUAAGGAAAUAGAGUCCCACAUUGCUUGGGAGUGGAAUGGGUGAUCACAUAAUAAUAUUUGGGACCUCUCCACUCAUUGCCAAUUGGUUUUGAGAUGGAUAUAACGUUUCCACAGGUAGGCUGCUUUUUUAUCAGCUCGGCACAUCCACUCCCCCUUUUGUAUGACAUGUACAUCGUUGUAACCUUGUUCAGUCAUUGUAAAUUUGUAAUAUCUUAUUUCGGUGUAUGUUCAGGAGAAGGAAAAAAAACUGUUUCAGUUUCCAAGCAUUGACUGACAGAGCGUGACUGAUUACAGAGUUAUUCUACAAUUGACUCUUCUUGUUGAGCUUCUAACUUUCCACCUGGUCCAUCUUCUUAUAGCUGAUCCAAGCCAUCCUUACCCACAUUGCUGAAUUGGCAAAGGGUCAUUAAUGGAGCAUCUUUUGGUGAAAAAACCAAAAGAUCUUUGGUUAGCCUCUGAAGCUGUACACAACAACGUUGCUCCUCUCCCUUUGUCCUCUUUGCCCUAAGCUCUGGAAGCAUUGCUGGUAACUGAUAUUUCUUAGUUUUGUUCCUUCUGUCUUCUUCUACAUUUGCUUUGUAAUUGCCAAUUUAGGAAAAAAUUGUUUCUCUGUAGUGUAUUUGCAUUGUACUCGCUUAGAAUGUGGGCAAAUUGGCGGGUGGGUUUGUUCCAAUUUCAGCAAUCCUUGUUUAUGAACAGUGCCUUGAUGUAUUGGAGUUUAGAUUAGGAAGAAUUCCAUGUAAUAUACCAGUACAGUAGUGGCAGAAGCAUCUAGCACCCGGAGGACAAGGCCCACAUGGAGGGGGAGUGUUAUGAGUUGCAGAAUGAAGAAGUGGAAACGUCAUUGAAGCAGCUUUGGAAGAGUGUCUACUUGUUUGAUUAAUUUAUGUGGUGAUCCUAAUAAGUGGGAUGGUUUCCUUAAUUGAUCCACCUGCAGGAACGAUUGUAACUGUAAAUACAAAGUAGAGAGUAGAGGAGAGUCAGAGUAGUUGUCGAGUAUUCUUGCAACUCGAAAGACCUUUUAGCAGCUAUCAGUUCAAUGAAUAAAAUAAUUUCUUCUUCUUCUU
Rhododendron vialii is the source of this 4412-nucleotide RNA transcript. RefSeq lists it as uncharacterized. The record is from RefSeq and is a predicted model, not a curated record. The transcript is spliced from 5 exons. NCBI's taxonomy places the organism in Eukaryota, Viridiplantae, Streptophyta, Magnoliopsida, Ericales, Ericaceae.